Molecule: non-coding RNA, 24 nt
Filed under: Cricetulus griseus (Chinese hamster)
Lineage: Eukaryota; Metazoa; Chordata; Mammalia; Rodentia; Cricetidae
Source: RNAcentral
AUGCUUUUAUUACAAGACUACCGA